Molecule: ribosomal RNA, 530 nt
Filed under: uncultured Nitrososphaerota archaeon
Lineage: Archaea; Thermoproteati; Nitrososphaerota
Description: bacterial SSU rRNA
Rfam family: Archaeal small subunit ribosomal RNA
Source: RNAcentral
UCUGGUGUCAGCCGCCGCGGUAAAACCAGCACCUCAAGUGGUCAGGAUGAUUAUUGGGCCUAAAGCAUCCGUAGCCGGCUCUGUUAGUUUUCGGUUAAAUCUGUACGCUCAACGUACAGGCUGCCGGGAAUACUGCAGAGCUAGGGAGUGGGAGAGGUAGACGGUACUCGGUAGGAAGGGGUAAAAUCCUUUGAUCUAUUGAUGACCACCUGUGGCGAAGGCGGUCUACCAGAACACGUCCGACGGUGAGGGAUGAAAGCUGGGGGAGCAAACCGGAUUAGAUACCCGGGUAGUCCCAGCUGUAAACUAUGCAAACUCAGUGAUGCAUUGGCUUGUGGCCAAUGCAGUGCUGCAGGGAAGCCGUUAAGUUUGCCGCCUGGGAAGUACGUACGCAAGUAUGAAACUUAAAGGAAUUGGCGGGGGAGCACCACAAGGGGUGAAGCCUGCGGUUCAAUUGGAGUCAACGCCAGAAAUCUUACCCGGAGAGACAGCAGAAUGAAGGUCAAGCUGAAGACUUUACCAGACAAGCU